Molecule: long non-coding RNA, 797 nt
Organism: Triticum dicoccoides
Lineage: Eukaryota; Viridiplantae; Streptophyta; Magnoliopsida; Poales; Poaceae
Exons: 6
Source: RefSeq, a predicted model, not a curated record
GCAUUGAAAAUAAAAGAUGAGCCAGGCUCCCCAAAAUCCCCCUUGGCAUCUUCCAUGCCGGCCGCCGCGACAUGCGCUUGUCGUCGCUAGCUCGCCACCGCAAUAUGCGCUCCUCUUUCUUCUCUCCAAGAUCCAGCCGCGUACCACUCCACCACAACAGAACUUAACGGGAUUAGCGGGAAGGAAGGACAAAUGGAACCCCAGCCGUGCAUGCAUGCGAGCUCCGACGGAUUUGUGGGCGAUAUGUUUGAAUCUCCAAGAAGCUUCAACGAGGGGCGCUGGUGCAUGCGUUCGGGUUGAAUCUCCAAGAAGCUUCACCGACUUCCCAUUGUUCAGAUCUCGAGAGACCGUAAGUUCAAUUACCACUGAGCAUCCAAAAUGGAUACAAGAUCAGAACAUGGACAAUCACCAUGCGAGUAAACCCUUUUUGUUCCUUGUGAAGUAUUACCUUUCAAUUAUUGAAACAUCAAGUUUCUUGAUGAUUCCAUUCUCUGCAAUUUCCAUUAGACAAGUGGGCUAGGUCCAAAGAUCGGGGAACAAUAUGGCGCUCCAUUUGAGGAAGAGGAAUUGAAUAGACACAAAGAGUGUAUAUUUACUUUUCUUCGAUCAGGACGUUCAGCUCUGCCUCCGCAAGCCGUUCACCCCUGCCACAGGAGGCCGUUCGACGAUGCAGCGCUAUCAUGUUGUGUUUUUUCAGUACAUGUUUUGUGUGCUUUUCAGUUCACCUACUUGAUGAUUCUAUGUCCAAUUUCCCCCCUGUUUACGUGUUCUUCCUAUAGUAAACUAGGUGUUUGUGU